RNAcentral lists this long non-coding RNA (1072 nucleotides) under Homo sapiens (human). Its description in RNAcentral is "HSALNT0285784". Lineage: Eukaryota; Metazoa; Chordata; Mammalia; Primates; Hominidae. The record is from RNAcentral.
CCCGUGGCGCCGUGGGAAAGCGCGCUGGUUUCUGCCAAAUGCAGUUAGCUUUGCUUCGCUUCCCUAAGUGCGUUCCCCCAGGGGCCCGGCAGUGUGCUAGGGGCACCCUGCUUCGUAAGUGAGGCAGACAGCCCGUGAUAAAUGCCAAAGUAGAAGCCCCUCCGAAAAAUUAAGGAGCCGAUUGGGCGGGACUAACCCUAAGGGAGGGCAGGGGAAGCGACCGUCACCUCCGGGCGCCGGGGACUCGGAACGCCGGGUCGGAGCUCGGCAGGCGGAGAAAUGUAAGCUCCAUGAGGUCAUGGAUUGUGUAUUUUGUUCACUGCUGUAUUCCCUGAGCCUGGAACAGUGCCUGACACAUAGUAGAUGCGCAGUAAAUAUUUGGUGAAUGAAUGAACAAACGCUAAUACAUCAAAGAGACAACAUCAAAGAACAGACUCCACAGGGCAGUUUACAUCUUCAUUGUUUGGCCCGACCCUUCUUGUUUGAGGGUGGAUUUUCAAAAUUACUGCUGAAGGCAAUUGGGAGCCUUGAAAGCUUUUAAAGGAGACGGGGUCUCACCACAUUGUCCAGGCUGAUCUCGAACUCCUGACUUCAAGCGAUCUCACCUCGGCCUCCCAAAGUGCUGGGAUUACAGGCAUAAGCCACCGUGCCUGGCCAAUUAUGAACAGACAUUGAUGCAGUUUCCUUCCUGGAGAGGGUACACACUCAGAUCAUGAGACCUAAGAUAAAACACACACUGGAUUGUCAAGAAUCAAACAAGGACUACCAAUGGGAUCUAAUUAAACUAAAGAGCUUCUGCACAGCAAAAGAAACUACCAUCAGGGUGAACAGGCAACCUACAAAAUGGGAGAAAAUUUUCGCAACCUACUCAUCUGACGAAGGGCUAAUAUCCAGAAUCUACAAUGACCUCAAAUAAAUUUACAAGAAAAAACAACCCCAUCAAAAAGUGGGCUAAGGACAUGAACAGACACUUCUCAAAAGAAGACAUUUAUGCAGCCAAAAAACACAUGAAAAAAUGCUCAUCAUCCCUGGCCAUCAGAGAAAUGCAAAUCAAAACCACAAUGAGAUACCA